Oxyura jamaicensis (ruddy duck) is the source of this 140-nucleotide long non-coding RNA. RefSeq lists it as uncharacterized. The transcript has 3 exons. The record is from RefSeq and is a predicted model, not a curated record. NCBI's taxonomy places the organism in Eukaryota, Metazoa, Chordata, Aves, Anseriformes, Anatidae.
GUGACAAAGGAAAAAAAAAAAGUUGUGAUCAUGUGAGUCAUUACACAAAGCCACACUCUGUGAAUUCACUACUACAGUUAAGAUUGUUUUUAAUCAAAAACACCUCAGCAGCAAUGUUACCACUGCAAACAUAGCGCUGC